RNAcentral lists this long non-coding RNA (2051 nucleotides) under Oryctolagus cuniculus (rabbit). Its description in RNAcentral is "lncRNA (ENSOCUG00000035559.1)". The record is from RNAcentral. Lineage: Eukaryota; Metazoa; Chordata; Mammalia; Lagomorpha; Leporidae.
CUCUGGCCAGUGUCCCAGCCACUCUGUGGCAUCUCAUGAGCUGGGCAGGCACAGAUAUUGUCUUCCCACUGUGGCUGCACCUGUCUCUGAGUCUGGCCUCACUCUGGCUUCCUGCCCAGGCUGGUCCCAGGAACUUGGCCUGGGACACCUGAACUCUGGACUAAGGUCUACUCUGGUCCAUGAAGAAGGGCCACCCCAGUCCCUGAGACCAGGGCUAGCUCUCAGCAGCCAGUGGGUGACCUCUGUGGGUGUCCUGGGAAGUCCUGAGGGCCCCAGAUGGAGGGGGAGGCAGACCAUGGAGGAUGAGGAGCCCCCGGGGGAGGGGAGGCCUGACACUCCUGGAGGUGGAGCCUGCUGGGCACAGCGCCACAGGUACGGGGUGCCAGAUGGACACCUCCAAGGCCAUGCCCUGUGCUGCUGCCCCAGACAAGGCUCCCACCCAUCGGCAUGCCGCCCCCAUUUUUGUCUCUAACAUUCUAGAAAAUCAGGAAGCCACCGCCGCCACCACCCCCAGAAAAGGUCAGUGUGGAUUUGGUUUUCAUUUGUUCCCUGCCUGGAGAGGACGGGGACCCUCACCCACAGCAUCCUGAGGCCUGGGCCCAACAUCUCCCUCCCAAGGGGCAAGGGGUGGCCCCAGGGUCUGGGAUGCACAGUGAUGUCCCCGGAAGACCCCUCCAGGCUCCCAGCAUGCCCAGACAGGGCACAGAAGGAGCAGGGAGGCAGGAGCAGGACAGAGGGAGCUGCAGUGUGGGCUGGCAAAGGCUUGAGCCAGUGUCUGGGACCGCACAGCCUGUAGGCCAGGCCUCAGACAGCAAGGGCGGCCCCAGGACAGGCAAGAGUUUAGGAGCCGAGGCGCUGGCAUCUGGGGAGAGGCCGUGGCAGUGCUGGAAGAAGGCUGUGGGAGGUCCUCACAUAGGGCUGUGCCCUGUGCUGGGUGCAGCUCCUCGUGCGACCUCCACUCAGCCCAAAAUAUAGAGGAUCAGCCAGCCCUGUGCAGUCAUGGGACUCCACGUCCCUGCUCCCCGACAGCCACGGGCAAGGAAGUAGACAGUUGCAUUUCUCUUCUAGAAGCCCAAGAAAGUGCCUCCUCCACCGCCCCCGCCCCCGCCGCCCCCCGUGACCGUGUGUCCCACAGUGAUCGUCUGCUGCUGUGCCUGCCAGGGGGUGUGGGUGAGCAGAGUGUCCCAGGGCACCCUGGACGGCUUCUACAACUACAUCCAGCCCACCUGCCACCCUUCACCGAUGAUGUUGUGCCGGGCCAGGGGCCAGGAGAGGUGGCCCAACCUCGCCCUCAUGAAGGCCCCCAGCAGCUCCAGCCUCUGCCUUCAACCCAGCCUGGAGAGUCUCCCCCUCAUCUGGUGUCCCCAGUGCCACCACCUCCCAGACAGGUGCGCCAGGCCUUCCGCCAGGAUGCUGCCGCUGCCCGCUCCCCAGAAUCAGGCUCUCUGCAGGAGCACCUUGUCCCUGCCUCCCCUGUAGCCCGGCCUCUCGGCACCCACACCCCAGAUGAAGAGGCUUUGCUUGCUGAGUGUGACGUGCGCCCGAGUCUUGCUUUAUGGGCAAAGCAGUAGAAGCUUGUUGCCAGUGGCCACGGCUUGUCACCUGGGGAGAUGCUGCACUGUGGGAGACGACCUCUGGGUGCACCUGCUGGGACAGGGCACCUAGGGUGGUGCGGCCUCAAAGCAUGGGUGAGCCUCUGUCCCAGCAGCCCUGUCACCGAGGGCUGGGGACAGAGAGAUGUGUGCUCCGAUCUCUGUGAGAACAGUCCCCAAGCAUCUGUGAGAUAUGAACUUGACCCUCAUCUCCCACAACCCCUAAUGUUCCAGAGAAGCCUUCGAAUGCCUAGUGCUGGGUGCUUCAUGGUAGGGUCUCAUGGUAUGGCCACAUAAAACUCUGAGUCAAGGAGGCAGCGAGGCCACCUCCCUCAGGAAGCCAGACCUCCUUCCUGACCCCCACACUGUCCCCACGUGCAUGGGCACUCGGGAUCUCGGGAUUCCAUCCGCUCAGAGAAGCCACACUGUGUCCUUCUUUCUUUCUUUUUUUUUUUAAAA